RNAcentral lists this ribosomal RNA (1558 nucleotides) under Salmonella enterica. Its description in RNAcentral is "bacterial LSU rRNA". It matches the Rfam family "Bacterial large subunit ribosomal RNA", at positions 1271 to 2812 of the family's 2925-position model. The record is from RNAcentral. Lineage: Bacteria; Pseudomonadati; Pseudomonadota; Gammaproteobacteria; Enterobacterales; Enterobacteriaceae.
UGCUGGAGGUAUCAGAAGUGCGAAUGCUGACAUAAGUAACGAUAAAGCGGGUGAAAAGCCCGCUCGCCGGAAGACCAAGGGUUCCUGUCCAACGUUAAUCGGGGCAGGGUGAGUCGACCCCUAAGGCGAGGCCGAAAGGCGUAGUCGAUGGGAAACGGGUUAAUAUUCCCGUACUUGGUGUUACUGCGAAGGGGGGACGGAGAAGGCUAUGUUGGCCGGGCGACGGUUGUCCCGGUUUAAGCGUGUAGGUAUGUGUUCCAGGUAAAUCCGGUUCACUUUAACACUGAGGCGUGACGACGAGGCACUACGGUGCUGAAGCAACAAAUGCCCUGCUUCCAGGAAAAGCCUCUAAGCAUCAGGUAACAUCAAAUCGUACCCCAAACCGACACAGGUGGUCAGGUAGAGAAUACCAAGGCGCUUGAGAGAACUCGGGUGAAGGAACUAGGCAAAAUGGUGCCGUAACUUCGGGAGAAGGCACGCUGACACGUAGGUGAAGUGAUUUACUCACGGAGCUGAAGUCAGUCGAAGAUACCAGCUGGCUGCAACUGUUUAUUAAAAACACAGCACUGUGCAAACACGAAAGUGGACGUAUACGGUGUGACGCCUGCCCGGUGCCGGAAGGUUAAUUGAUGGGGUCAGCGCAAGCGAAGCUCCUGAUCGAAGCCCCGGUAAACGGCGGCCGUAACUAUAACGGUCCUAAGGUAGCGAAAUUCCUUGUCGGGUAAGUUCCGACCUGCACGAAUGGCGUAAUGAUGGCCAGGCUGUCUCCACCCGAGACUCAGUGAAAUUGAACUCGCUGUGAAGAUGCAGUGUACCCGCGGCAAGACGGAAAGACCCCGUGAACCUUUACUAUAGCUUGACACUGAACAUUGAGCCUUGAUGUGUAGGAUAGGUGGGAGGCUUUGAAGUGUGGACGCCAGUCUGCAUGGAGCCGACCUUGAAAUACCACCCUUUAAUGUUUGAUGUUCUAACGUGGACCCGUGAUCCGGGUUGCGGACAGUGUCUGGUGGGUAGUUUGACUGGGGCGGUCUCCUCCUAAAGAGUAACGGAGGAGCACGAAGGUUGGCUAAUCCUGGUCGGACAUCAGGAGGUUAGUGCAAUGGCAUAAGCCAGCUUGACUGCGAGCGUGACGGCGCGAGCAGGUGCGAAAGCAGGUCAUAGUGAUCCGGUGGUUCUGAAUGGAAGGGCCAUCGCUCAACGGAUAAAAGGUACUCCGGGGAUAACAGGCUGAUACCGCCCAAGAGUUCAUAUCGACGGCGGUGUUUGGCACCUCGAUGUCGGCUCAUCACAUCCUGGGGCUGAAGUAGGUCCCAAGGGUAUGGCUGUUCGCCAUUUAAAGUGGUACGCGAGCUGGGUUUAGAACGUCGUGAGACAGUUCGGUCCCUAUCUGCCGUGGGCGCUGGAGAACUGAGGGGGGCUGCUCCUAGUACGAGAGGACCGGAGUGGACGCAUCACUGGUGUUCGGGUUGUCAUGCCAAUGGCACUGCCCGGUAGCUAAAUGCGGAAGAGAUAAGUGCUGAAAGCAUCUAAGCACGAAACUUGCCCCGAGAUGAGUUCU